GACGAACGCUGGCGGCGUGCCUAAUACAUGCAAGUCGAGCGGACCGAACAGGAGCUUGCUCUUGUUCGGUUAGCGGCGGACGGGUGAGUAACACGUGGGUAACCUGCCCGUAAGACCGGGAUAACUCCGGGAAACCGGAGCUAAUACCGGAUAACACCGAAGACCGCAUGGUCUUUGGUUGAAAGGCGGCUUCGGCUGCCCCUUACGGAUGGGCCCGCGGCGCAUUAGCUAGUUGGUGAGGUAACGGUUCACCAAGGCGACGAUGCGUAGCCGGCCUGAGAGGGGGACCGGCCCCACUGGGACCGAGACACGGCCCAGACUCCUACGGGAGGCAGCAGUAGGGAAUCUUCCGCAAUGGACGAAAGUCUGACGGAGCGACGCCGCGUGAGCGAAGAAGGUCUUCGGAUCGUAAAGCUCUGUUGUUAGGGAAGAAGAAGCGUCGUUCGAACAGGGCGGCGCGGUGACGGUACCUAACGAGAAAGCCCCGGCUAACUACGUG
RNAcentral lists this ribosomal RNA (499 nucleotides) under uncultured bacterium. RNAcentral describes it as "partial 16S ribosomal RNA". It matches the Rfam family "Bacterial small subunit ribosomal RNA", at positions 28 to 507 of the family's 1533-position model. The record is from RNAcentral.